GAUGAACGCUGGCGGCGUGCCUAAUACAUGCGAGUCGAGCGAACAGACGAGGAGCUUGCUCCUCUGACGUUAGCGGCGGACGGGUGAGUAACACGUGGAUAACCUACCUAUAAGACUGGGAUAACUUUGGGAAACCGGAGCUAAUACCGGAUAAUAUAUUGAACCGCAUGGUUCAAUAGUGAAAGACGGUUUUGCUGUCACUUAUAGAUGGAUCCGCGCCGCAUUAGCUAGUUGGUAAGGUAACGGCUUACCAAGGCGACGAUGCGUAGCCGACCUGAGAGGGUGAUCGGCCACACUGGAACUGAGACACGGUCCAGACUCCUACGGGAGGCAGCAGUAGGGAAUCUUCCGCAAUGGGCGAAAGCCUGACGGAGCAACGCCGCGCGAGUGAUGAAGGUCUUCGGAUCGUAAAACUCUGUUAUUAGGGAAGAACAAAUGUGUAAGUAACUAUGCACGUCUUGACGGUACCUAAUCAGAAAGCCACGGCUAACUACGUG
RNAcentral lists this ribosomal RNA (497 nucleotides) under uncultured bacterium. Its description in RNAcentral is "partial 16S ribosomal RNA". It matches the Rfam family "Bacterial small subunit ribosomal RNA", at positions 28 to 507 of the family's 1533-position model. The record is from RNAcentral.